Molecule: long non-coding RNA, 1034 nt
Filed under: Carassius auratus (goldfish)
Lineage: Eukaryota; Metazoa; Chordata; Actinopteri; Cypriniformes; Cyprinidae
Description: lncRNA (ENSCARG00000023996.1)
Source: RNAcentral
UUUCAAUUGCGGCUAAUUUAUAGGUUUAAUGUAUUAUGCAAAUAGAGAUUGCUAAAUAUGUUAUUAAUUGUACUAGCUUCCCUAUGAACUCUACAACUCGUAUCAAACUUUUCCAUUAUUAUUUAUUAUGUCUUGAACCUGACUUGCUAAAAAAAUGGCCAAUGUCCAGCGGUUGCUGCUACUUUUGUUUCAUGUAAAAGACUUUUAGUAAAGCUCAAGAAUCUUUAUCCAAUACCUGAUCAAAACAUUCUUUGAAAGUGCAGUUUUAUUUCAUCCAGAUGUACAGAGCAGCAGGUACAGCCGUUGGUAUUGAUAUGAUCAGUCUCUCACCACAGAAGAAACCAACAUAAAACAGUCCAGCCAUCCAGUAUUUUGGCACGGCUCUCCCUUUGAGACCAGCAAAAACGAUGGAAAGAUUCCAUGGCGGGUGUGAAAUCACAUGACUGAAACUUGAUAAUCCUUUCCUCGGGCUGGCUGAACUCAUUGAGCUAGACAACAUCAACAUGCUUCCCACCCUCCUCACCACCGUGCUUUUUACAAUGGGAUCAGAUGCUGUCCCUUAUGCCAUCCUAUCUCCACCAUUUCACCUGAACACUGAUCUCAGAGGCUUGACCAUCCUGGUGUGUGUGGUUCACGACAUUCAUCAAGGAGAGCUGGAGGUCUCCUGGAUUUCGAGUGGCACCAGAGGAACUAUUCCAGCAGUUCCUAACUUACUCCAAGGACACAGUGGCAUUCAGAGCACAAUGUCUGUUAUAUCUGUGCCCUCGAGUGAAUGGAUGUCCUACACCUGCUUUGUGAGUCACAGAGGCUCCGAUCAACUCAUACACAGACAUUAUGCUGGACUCCCAAUGGAGACAACCGAAAUGGCUGAUGAUGAAGAAACGUUUGAUAUGUGUUUGGACAAUCAAAGCAGUUUUUUGGAAGAUGUUCGAGCAAACAACGAUCUAUUAUUUGUUCAAGCUCUCAGAAUUAUCCUUCUCAAAAUCACCAUUUUCAACGUUCUGAUGACAGUGCAAGCCGUUAUAAAGUGGUAA